This 253-nucleotide ribosomal RNA is filed under the name uncultured bacterium. RNAcentral's name for it is "partial 16S ribosomal RNA". It matches the Rfam family "Bacterial small subunit ribosomal RNA", at positions 524 to 776 of the family's 1533-position model. The record is from RNAcentral.
UACGAAGGGAGCUAGCGUUGUUCGGAAUCACUGGGCGUAAAGCGCACGUAGGCGGAUGUGUCAGUCAGGGGUGAAAUCCCGGAGCUCAACUUCGGAACUGCCUUUGAUACAGCACGUCUUGAGUCCGAUAGAGGUGGGUGGAAUUCCUAGUGUAGAGGUGAAAUUCGUAGAUAUUAGGAAGAACACCGAUGGCGAAGGCAGCCAUCUGGACCGACACUGACGCUGAGGCGCGAAAGCGUGGGGAGCAAACAGG